GAGCAUUCUCUUAGGCUCCAGUGCUCAUAUACGAAAAUUGGAACGAUACAGAGAUUAGCACGGCCCCUGCACAAGGAUGACACGCAAAUAAAUAAAUGAAAAUGCAUUUCC
Cricetulus griseus (Chinese hamster) is the source of this 111-nucleotide small nuclear RNA. The record is from Ensembl. NCBI's taxonomy places the organism in Eukaryota, Metazoa, Chordata, Mammalia, Rodentia, Cricetidae.